GGAAUAUAGCUCAGUUGGUAGAGUGCUUGCCUCACAUGUACAAGGCCCUGGGUUCAAUCCUCAGCACCA
This 69-nucleotide transfer RNA is filed under the name Marmota monax (woodchuck). RNAcentral's name for it is "tRNA.Val". Lineage: Eukaryota; Metazoa; Chordata; Mammalia; Rodentia; Sciuridae. The record is from RNAcentral.